This 253-nucleotide ribosomal RNA is filed under the name uncultured bacterium. Its description in RNAcentral is "partial 16S ribosomal RNA". It matches the Rfam family "Bacterial small subunit ribosomal RNA", at positions 524 to 776 of the family's 1533-position model. The record is from RNAcentral.
UACGUAGGUGGCAAGCGUUGUUCGGAAUUAUUGGGCGUAAAGCGCGUGUAGGCGGCGUGGCAAGUCGGGUGUGAAAGCCCUCAGCUCAACUGAGGAAGUGCGCCCGAAACUGCUGUGCUUGAGUGCCGGAGAGGGUGGCGGAAUUCCCCAAGUAGAGGUGAAAUUCGUAGAUAUGGGGAGGAACACCGGUGGCGAAGGCGGCCACCUGGACGGUAACUGACGCUGAGACGCGAAAGCGUGGGGAGCAAACAGG